GAUGAACGCUGGCGGCGUGCCUAAUACAUGCAAGUCGAGCGAACAGACGAGGAGCUUGCUCCUCUGACGUUAGCGGCGGACGGGUGAGUAACACGUGUAUAACCUACCUAUAAGACUGGGAUCACUUCGGGAAACCGGAGCUAAUACCGGAUAAUAUAUUGAACCGCAUGGUUCAAUAGUGAAAGACGGUUUUGCUGUCACUUAUAGAUGGAUCCGCGCCGCAUUAGCUAGUUGGUAAGGUAACGGCUUACCAAGGCAACGAUGCGUAGCCGACCUGAGAGGGUGAUCGGCCACACUGGAACUGAGACACGGUCCAGACUCCUACGGGAGGCAGCAGUAGGGAAUCUUCCGCAAUGGGCGAAAGCCUGACGGAGCAACGCCGCGUGAGUGAUGAAGGUCUUCGGAUCGUAAAACUCUGUUAUUAGGGAAGAAGAAAUGUGUAAGUAAAUAUGCACGUCUUGACGGUACCUAAUCAGAAAGCCACGGCUAACUACGUG
This 497-nucleotide ribosomal RNA is filed under the name uncultured bacterium. RNAcentral describes it as "partial 16S ribosomal RNA". It matches the Rfam family "Bacterial small subunit ribosomal RNA", at positions 28 to 507 of the family's 1533-position model. The record is from RNAcentral.